GUAGGUGGCAAGCGUUGUCCGGAAUUAUUGGGCGUAAAGCGCGCGCAGGCGGUUCUUUAGGUCUGAUGUGAAAGCCCACGACUCAACCGUGGAGGGUCAUUGGAAACUGGAGAACUUGAGUACAGAAGAGGAAAGCGGAAUUCCGCGUGUAGCGGUGAAAUGCGUAGAGAUGUGGAGGAACACCAGUGGCGAAGGCGGCUUUCUGGUCUGUAACUGACGCUGAGGCGCGAAAGCGUGGGGAGCAAACAGGGAUUAGAUACCCUGGUAGUCCACGCCGUAAACGAUGAGUGCUAAGUGUUAGGGGGGUUUCCCGCCCCUUAGUGCUGCAGCUAACGCAUUAAGCACUCCGCCUGGGGAGUACGGCCGCAAGGCUG
RNAcentral lists this ribosomal RNA (374 nucleotides) under uncultured organism. RNAcentral describes it as "partial 16S ribosomal RNA". It matches the Rfam family "Bacterial small subunit ribosomal RNA", at positions 527 to 896 of the family's 1533-position model. The record is from RNAcentral.